Molecule: non-coding RNA, 21 nt
Organism: Caenorhabditis elegans
Lineage: Eukaryota; Metazoa; Nematoda; Chromadorea; Rhabditida; Rhabditidae
Source: Ensembl
UGAUCGCACUGCUAGUUGAAA